This 497-nucleotide ribosomal RNA is filed under the name uncultured bacterium. RNAcentral's name for it is "partial 16S ribosomal RNA". It matches the Rfam family "Bacterial small subunit ribosomal RNA", at positions 28 to 507 of the family's 1533-position model. The record is from RNAcentral.
GAUGAACGCUGGCGGCGUGCCUAAUACAUGCAAGUCGAGCGAACAGACGAGGAGCUUGCUCCUCUGACGUUAGCGGCGGACGGGUGAGUAACACGUGGAUAACCUACCUAUAAGACUGGGAUAACUUCGGGAAACCGGAGCUAAUACUGGAUAAUAUAUUCAACCGCAUGGUUCAAUAGUGAAAGACGGUUUUGCUGUCACUUAUAGAUGGAUCCGCGCCGCAUUAGCUAGUUGGUAAGGUAACGGCUUACCAAGGCGACGAUGCGUAGCCGACCUGAGAGGGUGAUCGGCCACACUGGAACUGAGACACGGUCCAGACUCCUACGGGAGGCAGCAGUAGGGAAUCUUGCGCAAUGGGCGAAAGCCUGACGGAGCAACGCCGCGUGAGUGAUGAAGGUCUUCGGAUCGUAAAACUCUGUUAUUAGGGAAGAACAAAUGUGUAAGUAACUAUGCACGUCUUGACGGUACCUAAUCAGAAAGCCACGGCUAACUACGUG